Mauremys reevesii (Reeves's turtle) is the source of this 1057-nucleotide long non-coding RNA. RefSeq lists it as uncharacterized. Lineage: Eukaryota; Metazoa; Chordata; Testudines; Geoemydidae. The record is from RefSeq and is a predicted model, not a curated record. The transcript is spliced from 3 exons.
GCAAAUGCGGCCACUCACCAGCGCUGGCUCUGCAUAGCUGGAUGACCAGCGCUGCAAACCGCACAUUUCUCGAGGCUUGUGUGAAAAGGGCUGUGAUCGGGACAUGCUGCAGUGCAGAGCGAUGAUAAAGGAGCUGAAGCAGGCAUACCAUAAGGCAAGGGAGGCAAACCGUCGCUUCGGUACUUCACUUAAGAUCUGCUGAUUCUAUAAGGAGCUGGACGCUAUUCUCGGUGGUGACUCCAUCUUCACCGCCAAGAGCCCCAUGGAUACUUCGGUGGGCCUGCAGGAGGUGGAAAGAUGAACUAACCCAGAGAACAAAGUCACUGAUGAAGAGGUGGAGUUAGAUGAGGAUGUGGAGCUCCCGGCGAGGUCUGCUGGUGGGGCAGGCAGCCAGGAACUGUUCACCACUCCAGAGGUGUCUGGUCAGUCUCAGCAGGUGCUCGCCAGUGAGCAAGAAGCAGAAGACACCUGAUGUGGCCUUCAGGAACAUCCCCCCCACCCCCGACACACACCGGCCGAGCAUCUCCGCUGGAUAAGAAAGUGCCCAAGCCAGAGCAAAGAAACCAUGUUCCGGGAGGUACUGCACUCCUCCAAUGCAGAGAAAGGUGAACACAAGGAGUGGUGAGAAGCCAAAAGGCAGGACAGAAAAGAAAAUGAGGAGUUUGUUAAGGAUGCUAGUAAGUGGAUGAAUAAAGUCAUGGAGAAGCAAACACAGAUGCUGAAGUCCUUAAUAAUGCUGCAGAGUGAGCAGAUCUGUGCCCGCUCUCCCCUGCAGCACAUUCAGAAUUCUUUUCCAUGCCCCCUCCCCCAACUCUUCCCACACAGUCCUUUCCAAUUGCUGAGGCUUCUUGGUUUUGCCUUCGCUCCACCCCCUCAGACAACUUUCAGAGAUGUGUGUAGGUCCAACUUUUAUUAUGAAACUCCGCCCUUCCCUGGUACCUCCUUUGCCACAAAGCAUCUUUGUGUGUGUUGUUUCUUGUGCAAUAAAAGCAAAGUUUUUGAAUGGUAACUCAUCUUUAUUUGUUUUCUACAAAUUGAGAUAGCAGGCACUUCCAAU